UACGUAGGUGGCAAGCGUUGUCCGGAUUUACUGGGCGUAAAGAGCGCGCAGGCGGUCGUUCAAGUCGCGUGUGAAAGCCCCCGGCUCAACUGGGGAGGGUCACGCGAUACUGAUCGACUCGAAGGCAGGAGAGGGUAGUGGAAUUCCCGGUGUAGUGGUGAAAUUCGUAGAUAUUCGGAAGAACACCAGUGGCGAAGGCGACUUACUGGACACGUAUUGACGCUGAGGUGCGAAAGCGUGGGGAGCAAACAAG
This 253-nucleotide ribosomal RNA is filed under the name uncultured bacterium. RNAcentral's name for it is "partial 16S ribosomal RNA". It matches the Rfam family "Bacterial small subunit ribosomal RNA", at positions 524 to 776 of the family's 1533-position model. The record is from RNAcentral.